AGGGAUUCGGAUUUGUUACCUUUGCAAAUAGUGCCGAUGCGGAAAGAGCACGUGAACGUCUACAUGGUACCGUGGUUGAGGGUCGAAAAAUUGAGGUCAAUAAUGCAACAGCUCGAGUUCAAACUAAAAAAGUUACCACAGUCCCUAACGUUGUGCUGACAAAAGAUGGUGCCAUACCGGCUCCAGCUCUAGUUUGUGUCCAAUGGCCCGAAGGUUAUCGAUUGCCUGUGGCUACGUGGCCAUUUAUUGGUGGCCCUGUGGCGGUGGGGGCGGCGCCAUUAACACCUGUGCCAACGGGAGCGGCACCAGCAACAGCCACUGCAUUAGCAGCACCAGCACCACCUCCUACGCCCAUUGUAUUAGCACGGCCGUCAACACAGCGACGAAGGU
Musca vetustissima is the source of this 390-nucleotide long non-coding RNA. RefSeq lists it as uncharacterized. Lineage: Eukaryota; Metazoa; Arthropoda; Insecta; Diptera; Muscidae. The record is from RefSeq and is a predicted model, not a curated record. The transcript is spliced from 5 exons.